UUAUUUUUAAAAUGGUUUAUGUAUUGAUUUCUAUUUUCCUUGUGUGUAUGUUUUCUCAGGAAAUAUAUAUGUGCACUUUGAGAAUGCUGUGCCUAUCACCCUGGUCCUCUAACACGCCUAGUAUCACAGCGUCUGGUGUGAGAAAUUGGUCAGGAUUUCAAAACAGAUCUGUACUUCCAGAUUACAGCUAUUGGUGCUUUGCAGCAGGCAAGAGAGGCCUAUCUGCUUGGCCUUUUAAGAUACCAACCAACUUGUGUGCUGUCCAUGCCAAACGGGACUUUGUCACCUUUAAGGAUGUCGCCAUCUUAUUCUCCAGGGAGGAGUGGAGGCUCCUCAAUAAGUCUCAGAAGCAACUGUGUGAUGCUGGAGAACGUUACUUUGCACUUGUAACUUCAUUGGGAUUUGCUUCAAGAUGGUUCUGUGCAGAUUUCUGGCAAGGAGCCUGGGGAUAGCUCUGGAUGCUUUACAGUGAGGUGCAAUCACAGAGGACCUUGAUGAGUUGUCCAGUCAAAAAGGGAGACUUGUUUCCUGUUGCUCUGUACUACCUGCUGUGUGGCAUUUUCCACUACUC
RNAcentral lists this long non-coding RNA (571 nucleotides) under Rattus norvegicus (Norway rat). Its description in RNAcentral is "long non-coding RNA NONRATT031511". The record is from RNAcentral. Lineage: Eukaryota; Metazoa; Chordata; Mammalia; Rodentia; Muridae.